UAAGAUUUUUAAUUCUCCUCUACUUCCUCUCCAUUAAUCACCUUUAAUCCCUCUUUUAAUCCCUUUUCCUCUGAGAUCUUUUACUCUAAUUUCUCUCUUUCUCCGAUCGACGCAUUUAUUUUGCCGGGAACUCUGCGAGCGUCCUGUGGUUUUUGGUUCUUCUUCCGUCGAGACGACGCCAAGUUCUUGGAAUAAUACGUGAAGCGGCGGAAGAAUCCUUGGACUAUUGUAUCAUAAUUGACCGUUAACAGUUAUGCUGCACUGAAUUACAGGCAGGCCUGAGAAUUUUUCUAUGUGCUCUGUGUGAAAAAUUCCAGUGGAAAAUAUUGAUGAAAUUGCAAACGUCAUUUUGAUCCAUGAAUGAAAAAUAGCUUCUUGGCCGAGCGUUUUCAAUACAUUCAUUUGAACGAAGGCCAUAAGGCGGCACUUCUAUUUGUACGUAUCAAAUGACACCGGAAAUAAACGGAUUCCAAACUAUCGCCGUGAAACUUAGGAGCGAAAGUGAUUUACAACUGAUAAAUAUUUAUCGGCAGCUGGCGAAUUCUGCUUCGGUAAAAAGAUAAUGACUUUGACCCAGUGAAGUCAUCGAUGCUUUUUUUUACUUCCUCGGAAAAUUGAAAGUGGCAAUCCACCAAUGAUUAUGAGUUGCUCUCAAAAGACAGUUACUCAACGAGAUUCUGUUAGGCUUUUGUGGUAUUGCAAGGAGCGGACGACCACUCACGUCAAAACCGUCUUUAAAGCGACGAAAUUAAUAUUGGCAGAUAUUGCGGAACACAAUAUUUUCCCCAAGAACAGAGAAAAUGGAUUCAUAUACUUUAACAGCAUUUUUUCUUUGCUAAAAUUCAUAUCGAAUGCAG
Molecule: long non-coding RNA, 857 nt
Filed under: Harpegnathos saltator (Jerdon's jumping ant)
Lineage: Eukaryota; Metazoa; Arthropoda; Insecta; Hymenoptera; Formicidae
Description: uncharacterized LOC112590009, transcript variant X1
Source: RNAcentral